This 468-nucleotide ribosomal RNA is filed under the name uncultured bacterium. Its description in RNAcentral is "partial 16S ribosomal RNA". It matches the Rfam family "Bacterial small subunit ribosomal RNA", at positions 28 to 507 of the family's 1533-position model. The record is from RNAcentral.
GACGAACGCUGGCGGCGUGCUUAACACAUGCAAGUCGAACGGAAAGGCCCUGCUUUUGUGGGGUGCUCGAGUGGCGAACGGGUGAGUAACACGUGAGUAACCUGCCCUUGACUUUGGGAUAACUUCAGGAAACUGGGGCUAAUACCGGAUAGGAGCUCCUGCUGCAUGGUGGGGGUUGGAAAGUUUCGGCGGUUGGGGAUGGACUCGCGGCUUAUCAGCUUGUUGGUGGGGUAGUGGCUUACCAAGGCUUUGACGGGUAGCCGGCCUGAGAGGGUGACCGGCCACAUUGGGACUGAGGUACGGCCCAGACUCCUACGGGAGGCAGCAGUGGGGAAUAUUGCACAAUGGGCGGAAGCCUGAUGCAGCAACGCCGCGUGCGGGAUGACGGCCUUCGGGUUGAAAACCGCUUUCGCCUGUGACGAAGCGUGAGUGACGGUAAUGGGUAAAGAAGCACCGGCUAACUACGUG